AAAUUCGAUUUUGGAGCGCGUCAGUCCAGUGUUUUUACUCCGAGGUGUACAUGAGGCCUUUCGCGUCCUGGAUGACUUGUUGACCUGUAUGCUAAGGUACGGACGUCACUGUGCGACUUCAGCAAGGUACAAGGGUCAUCCUGGCUUGUCUACUGGCUGCAGAAAAGCAUUGCAUUAUGCCAUUUAUAAGCCAUUGUUUAUGUGCAAGGGUCAUCCUGGCUUGUCGAGACAUGGGCAGAGCCAACACAGCAGCAGCUGAGGUCAAGAAGAGGAGUGGAAAUGGUAACGUGGUUGUUAAGAUCCUGGAUCUGGCCUCCUUGCAGUCUGUCCAGACUCUGGCCAAAGAUGUACAGCAGACUGAAGAGAUUAAAUGAACAGUUACUGGGGCCCUCUAAAAUGAAAGCCCGGAUGAGUUUAUGGUAAAGAGCGUUUUAUAAAAGCUGUAGCACAACAUGAGCAGUAUUUUGGAAUAAACAAUGUGUUUUCCCUGUA
Molecule: long non-coding RNA, 492 nt
Organism: Puntigrus tetrazona (Sumatra barb)
Lineage: Eukaryota; Metazoa; Chordata; Actinopteri; Cypriniformes; Cyprinidae
Exons: 3
Source: RefSeq, a predicted model, not a curated record